UACGGGAGGCAGCAGUGGGGAAUAUUGCACAAUGGGCGCAAGCCUGAUGCAGCCAUGCCGCGUGUAUGAAGAAGGCCUUCGGGUUGUAAAGUACUUUCAGUCGUGAGGAAGGUGUUAAGGUUAAUAACCUUAGCAAUUGACGUUAGCGACAGAAGAAGCACCGGCUAACUCCGUGCCAGCAGCCGCGGUAAUACGGAGGGUGCGAGCGUUAAUCGGAAUUACUGGGCUAAAGGGCACGCAGGCGGUUAAUUAAGUUGGAUGUGAAAUCCCCGGGCUUAACCUGGGAAUGGCAUUCAAGACUGGUUAGCUAGAGUCUUGUAGAGGGGGUAGAAUUCCAUGUGUAGCGGUGAAAUGCGUAGAGAUGUGGAGGAAUACCGGUGGCGAAGGCGGCCCCUGGACAAAGGACUGACGCUCAUGUGCGAAAGCGUGGGGAGCAAACAGGGAUUAGAUACC
This 453-nucleotide ribosomal RNA is filed under the name uncultured bacterium. RNAcentral describes it as "bacterial SSU rRNA". It matches the Rfam family "Bacterial small subunit ribosomal RNA", at positions 340 to 786 of the family's 1533-position model. The record is from RNAcentral.